Molecule: ribosomal RNA, 119 nt
Organism: Cavia porcellus (domestic guinea pig)
Lineage: Eukaryota; Metazoa; Chordata; Mammalia; Rodentia; Caviidae
Source: Ensembl
CUCUGUGGCAAUACCACCCCUAAUGUGCUUGAUCUCCUCUGAUCUAGGAAGCUAAGCAGGGUUGGGCCUGGUUAGGACUUGGAUGGGAGAGUUAUGAGACUUGCAUGUAGCUCUAGAAU